AGCAAUAUGUCAGCGGCAGACGGGUGAGUAACGCGUGGGAAUCUACCCAACCCUAUGGAAUAACGCAUGGAAACGUGUGCUAAUACCAUAUGCGCCCCCCUUUAAAAUUCCAGGAAGAGUAAAAUGCCUUGGCAUUUUAUGGGGGGGAAAGAUUUAUCGGGGAUGGAUGAGCCCGCGUUGGAUUAGCUAGUUGGUGGGGUAAAGGCCUACCAAGGCGACGAUCCAUAGCUGGUCUGAGAGGAUGAUCAGCCACAUUGGGACUGAGACACGGCCCAAACUCCUACGGGAGGCAGCAGUGGGGAAUAUUGGACAAUGGGCGCAAGCCUGAUCCAGCCAUGCCGCGUGAGUGAUGAAGGCCCUAGGGUUGUAAAGCUCUUUCACCGGAGAAGAUAAUGACGGUAUCCGGAGAAGAAGCCCCGGCUAACUUCGUGCCAGCCGCCGCCGUAA
RNAcentral lists this ribosomal RNA (447 nucleotides) under uncultured bacterium. RNAcentral describes it as "partial 16S ribosomal RNA". It matches the Rfam family "Bacterial small subunit ribosomal RNA", at positions 83 to 523 of the family's 1533-position model. The record is from RNAcentral.